ACGUAGGGUGCAAGCGUUAUCCGGAAUUAUUGGGCGUAAAGAGCUCGUAGGCGGUUUGUCACGUCUGCUGUGAAAACUGGAGGCUCAACCUCCAGCCUGCAGUGGGUACGGGCAGACUAGAGUGCGGUAGGGGAGAUUGGAAUUCCUGGUGUAGCGGUGGAAUGCGCAGAUAUCAGGAGGAACACCGAUGGCGAAGGCAGAUCUCUGGGCCGUAACUGACGCUGAGGAGCGAAAGCAUGGGGAGCGAACAG
Molecule: ribosomal RNA, 251 nt
Filed under: uncultured prokaryote
Description: partial 16S ribosomal RNA
Rfam family: Bacterial small subunit ribosomal RNA
Source: RNAcentral